RNAcentral lists this ribosomal RNA (640 nucleotides) under uncultured fungus. RNAcentral describes it as "eukaryotic LSU rRNA". The stretch from base 207 to 361 matches the Rfam family "5.8S ribosomal RNA". Lineage: Eukaryota; Fungi. The record is from RNAcentral.
CAUUACUGAGUCGUCGACACGAGUUGUUGCUGGUCCUCAAACGGAGGACAUGUGCACGCUCUGUUUACACAUCCACUCACACCUGUGCACCCUCUGUAGUUCUAUGGUUUGGGGGGCCCUGCCUCCCUUCUGUGGUUCUGCAUCUUUACACACACACUGUAACAAAGUCUUAAGGAAUGUACAUCGCGUUUAACGCAAUACAAUACAACUUUCAGCAACGGAUCUCUUGGCUCUCGCAUCGAUGAAGAACGCAGCGAAAUGCGAUAAGUAAUGUGAAUUGCAGAAUUCAGUGAAUCAUCGAAUCUUUGAACGCACCUUGCGCCCCUUGGCUAUUCCGAAGGGCAUGCCUGUUUGAGUAUCAUGAACACCUCAACUCCCAUGGUUCGCCGUGGUGAGCUUGGACUUUGGGGGUUUUGCUGGCCUACGGUCAGCUCCUCUCAAAUGAAUUAGCCUGCCAGUGUUUGGUGGCAUCACAGGUGUGAUAAAUAUCUACGCUUGCGAUUGCCUGCCAGGUAACCUUCAGCAAUGGGGGUUCACUGGGGCUCAUAGACGUCUCUCCCUCAGUGAGGACAACUCUUUAACGUUCGAUCUCAAAUCAGUAGGACUACCCGCUGAACUUAAGCAUAUCAAUAAGCGGAGG